CGAUUAAACUCUCCUUCGGGRAAGAAUAAAGUGGCGCACGGGUGAGUAACACGUAGGUAAUCUACCUUUGAGUGGGGAAUAACRWUCGGAAACGRWYGCUAAUACCGCAUAAUGCAGCGGCAUCUUAUGAUGACAGUUGUUAAAGGAGCAAUCCGCUUAAAGAGGAGCCUGCGGCAGAUUAGCUWGUUGGUAAGGUAAUGGCUUACCAAGGCUACGAUCUGUAACCGACCUGAGAGGGUGGUCGGUCACACUGACACUGAAUAACGGGUCAGACUCCUACGGGAGGCAGCAGUCGGGAAUUUUGGGCAAUGGGCGAAAGCCUGACCCAGCAACGCCGCGUGAAGGAYGAAGUCUYUCGGGAUGUAAACUYCGUAAGAAURGGAAGAAUAAAUGACGGUACYAUUUGUAAGGUCCGGCUAACUACGUGCCAGCAGCCGCGGUAAUACGUAGGGACCAAGCGUUGUUCGGAUUUACUGGGCGUAAAGGGCGCGUAGGCGGCAAUUCAAGUCAGUUGUGAAAUCUCCGAGCUUAACUCGGAACGGUCAACUGAUACUGUUUUGCUAG
RNAcentral lists this ribosomal RNA (564 nucleotides) under uncultured bacterium. RNAcentral's name for it is "partial 16S ribosomal RNA". It matches the Rfam family "Bacterial small subunit ribosomal RNA", at positions 65 to 644 of the family's 1533-position model. The record is from RNAcentral.